AGCAGCCGCGGUAAUUCCAGCUCCAAUAGCGUAUAUUAAAGUUGUUGCAGUUAAAAAGCUCGUAGUUGAACUUCAGGCCUGGCUGGGUGGUCAGCCUAUCGGCAUGUACUGUCUGGCCGGGUCUUACUUCUUGGUGAGCCGGUGUGCCCUUUAUUGGGUGCGUCGGUGAACCAGGACCUUUACCUUGAGAAAAU
This 194-nucleotide ribosomal RNA is filed under the name uncultured Paraglomus. RNAcentral describes it as "partial 18S ribosomal RNA". It matches the Rfam family "Eukaryotic small subunit ribosomal RNA", at positions 569 to 766 of the family's 1831-position model. Lineage: Eukaryota; Fungi; Glomeromycota; Glomeromycetes; Paraglomerales; Paraglomeraceae. The record is from RNAcentral.